CUACGGGUGGCUGCAGUGGGGAAUAUUGCACAAUGGAGGAAACUCUGAUGCAGCAACGCCGCGUGGAGGAUGACACUUUUCGGAGCGUAAACUCCUUUUAUAUAGGAAGAAGAUGACGGUACUAUAUGAAUAAGCGCCGGCUAACUCCGUGCCAGCAGCCGCGGUAAUACGGAGGGCGCAAGCGUUACUCGGAAUCACUGGGCGUAAAGGACGCGUAGGCGGGUUGGAAAGUCAGGUGUGAAAUCCUACAGCUUAACUGUAGAACUGCACUUGAAACUUCUAAUCUAGAGUAUGGGAGAGGUAGAUGGAAUUUCUGGUGUAGGGGUAAAAUCCGUAGAGAUCAGAAGGAAUACCGAUUGCGAAGGCGAUCUACUAGAACAUUAUUGACGCUGAGACGCGAAAGCGUGGGGAGCAAACAGGAUUAGAUACCCUGGUAGUC
RNAcentral lists this ribosomal RNA (439 nucleotides) under uncultured bacterium. Its description in RNAcentral is "partial 16S ribosomal RNA". It matches the Rfam family "Bacterial small subunit ribosomal RNA", at positions 339 to 795 of the family's 1533-position model. The record is from RNAcentral.